GAUGAACGCUAGCGGCAGGCUUAAUACAUGCAAGUCGAGGGGCAGCACGGUUAGCAAUAACUGGUGGCGACCGGCGCACGGGUGCGUAACACGUAUACAAUCUACCUUAAACAGGGGGAUAGCCUUUCGAAAGAGAGAUUAAUACCCGUAAUAAAUUGAACGGCAUCGUUUGAUUUUGAAGCUCCGGCGGUUUGAGAUGAGUAUGCGUCUGAUUAGCUAGUUGGUGAGGUAACGGCUCACCAAGGCGACGAUCAGUAGGGGAUCUGAGAGGACUAACCCCCACACUGGUACUGAGACACGGACCAGACUCCUACGGGAGGCAGCAGUAAGGAAUAUUGGUCAAUGGAGGCAACUCUGAACCAGCCAUGCCGCGUGCAGGAUGACGGCCCUAUGGGUUGUAAACUGCUUUUAUACAAGAGAAAACCCUGGUACGUGUACCAGGUUGAUAGUAUUGUAAGAAUAAGCAUCGGCUAAACUUCGUGCCAGCAGCCGCGGUAAU
RNAcentral lists this ribosomal RNA (499 nucleotides) under uncultured bacterium. RNAcentral describes it as "bacterial SSU rRNA". It matches the Rfam family "Bacterial small subunit ribosomal RNA", at positions 28 to 524 of the family's 1533-position model. The record is from RNAcentral.